RNAcentral lists this long non-coding RNA (556 nucleotides) under Solanum lycopersicum (tomato). Its description in RNAcentral is "long non-coding RNA (SLYC_LNC000798)". Lineage: Eukaryota; Viridiplantae; Streptophyta; Magnoliopsida; Solanales; Solanaceae. The record is from RNAcentral.
CAGUGUAUGGAGACAAAGGCCUUGUAGUCAGCAAUUCUGCUUUGUCAAAAGUAGAAUCAACAACAGAAGAGGCUGCCUUAGUGUGUUCGCUGUCUUCUGCUCCAGUUGCACCUUCUUGACGACCACCGGGAGGAAUUGGACUAGGAGAUGUAGGUGGCUUUAAAUCUUCAUAACUGCCAAGAUUAAAUCAGUCAGCAAAUAAGAUACACUAUGCUUGCGUGUAAGUAGUUGAACUAACUCAGGAAUGACUUAACGCAGUGUAUGGAGACAAAGGCCUUGUAGUCAGCAAUUCUACUUUGUCAAAAGUAGAAUCAACAACAGAAGAAACUGCUUUAGUAGGUUCACCAUCUUCUGCUCCACUUGAACCUUCUUGACGACCUCCGGGAGGAUUUGGACUAGGAGAUGUAGGUGGCUUUAAAUCUUCAUAACUGCCAACAUUGAAUCAGUCAGCAAAUAAAAUACACUAUACUUGCGUGUAAGUAGUUGGACUAACUCAGGAAUGACUUAACGCAGCAUAUGGAGACGAAGGUCUUGUAGUCAGCAAUUCUGCUUUGUC